CAUUUAAUGGUACGCAUUUUGGACUCCCGUAAAUAUAUCAUACAUGCUACUGAAGAUAGACCAAGUGUUCCAUUGUGUCGAGUUUGUGUAGAGCAAGAAGUUUCGGCAGUGUGAUAUAUUUUGAAGAUGAUCGUAAGUGCGAUCUUGUUUGAAUUCUUCAAUAUUCCUAGUUAGGAGUACCUUACAUUGCUACACUGCCAGGAGGAUUCUACAUUCCCAAAGGUCAGAUAUGUGGAAACGGUGGAGGCUGGUACUACAAAAGUUGGCGAAAAAGGAAAAAGACCACCUUAGUAGUGAGCAAUGACGAACAAAAUGGGGCCUAGUGCAUUGAGACAACGCUCAUCGAAGUAUGUGUACCGGUUUCAAAUUCGUCCCGGGGCGCGUCUUUUUGAAAGUACAGUUUCACCUUUACACGCUCCGGCACUUGGCAUAUCUGGGCUAUGAUCCACACUUAGGAUUGUUAGGAUUCGAAGCGCCAGUUGGUUAGGUGCAGGAUAGCCUUUCAUCUCCUUUGUCCUACAGCUCAGCUGCAUGUUUGGCUUGGCGAAGAUGAGACGUGAAACUAAGGAUGAAUGGCCUGUAUUAUGUUUCUUGGUAUCACUGCCACGCAUAUUUGCCAUAGCAAUCAAGACAUGCCCAGAAAAAGAUUACAGCAAGCCAUUGCAAAGACCGACCGGAAUUGGUGGACAGAAAACGGGUCGUCCUCCGCCAUGGCGAUGCCACCCCACAUACAUUUUUAGCUGUCCGGCAAAAAUUCGGAAAACUCAGGCCUAUUUUAGCCAUGGGAACGUAGCGAUCGGUUACCAGCCCGGGCGAAUUUGAAGCCGCUGUCUGGUACGGGUUCCCUAUGUAUACGAAAAACGGGAACGCUUUCUGUGUGAACGGUGUAAAUAAAUUAUAUGAAAAGUGUGUAGCUUUAUAGGAAAUAUAGUUGUUCCGCAGCUAUUUUGCCGAUAGCCUUAGGCUAUUGGUGGCCUAUAGGCUAUAGGGGGUGAAGCAUCUGUGUAGCGGUGUAAUAUUCUCGCUAAAGAUUUGCUUGCAACUUUCCUUCAAUAGACGAUGGCGAUGUAUAGUAAAAAUACUUAGAGACGCAUUUCUGUUGGUCGAUGCUCCGCUGAACCAUGACCACCUUUAUCAGUCGUUGAUUCGUGCUCCUUGAUUCGAGUUCUAUAUACGCGGAUCUUUGUUUGUUUUGAAUUUAUGUUGAAGGAAGUAUAUUAGCUUUGUAAACUUUGAAGCAUCUCAUUGCCACUGUAUUGAAUAUAGCUAGCGGUAACUAUAUCCAAUGGCAUAUUUAAAUGUGUGACAAAAGACUAGCUAGCGUUCUUCUUACCAAUUUCUAAUAAUCUAUACGUACGGAAAUUUUAUUUGUCACAAAGAUUUUCGUUUAGAUUCUACUAAAACAGAAAACGUAUCAGCUUGUAUUGCGUCCGGAAAUUCAGUGUAGCUUAUUCUCACUCCUAAUGUUGAGUUUAUAUGGCUAGAAGGACGACGUUAUCACAAGUCUUGCCCGAACAAAUCACCGUACUUGUUAACAGGAUAAAGCUGCAUAACGUUUCAACAAGGUGCUACCGACGAAGCGACUUGUCAAUUUUCGUUAGAUACAUUCCCCAGCAGAAAAGUUCUGCAAAUCGAACCGAUAGGAGAAAGUCUCAUAAGGGUCUACUGUAGCACGGAGGAAAGCCGACAGGCAAUGCGACGAAAGCACGUAAUCCUGGAUUGUCCGUAAAUCUGAAAGUGUUAUCUGAAAGAAUAGCCUUUCCCGAAACUAUAACCGAUGUCACAGAUGCUUCAGUUAUAGGACUCCAUUCUUAACGUGAGACGCAUCAACUAACCUCAUUGUACCGCUGCAAAGACGAUUCCUAAAUUUAUCUGAAAAAAAAGACCUAUCACUUUUCAACCUAAAAAAUAGCAUGGAUUUCCAGCAACUGUCGCCACGUUUGGGUAUAUCUGAAUAGGUAAGCGGUUAUCAGCUAUUGUAAAUCAUGUAAUUAGGUUAGUACGUCAAAGAAAACGGGUUGAAUAAUAAAGUUUGAUUGUGUAUGGGUCUUGUUUUAUCUAACAGUUGAUACCCAAGGCCAAUUAGCACAGACAUGCAACUUUCUGAAGGAUUUUCACAAUAAGCACUUGAAAUUUCUUCGAAUAACAGAAGCAUUUAGAUCGAUGUCCGGCUACUAGUUACCCUCCUAACUACAAAAUGUGUUUCACCAGUCUUCUCUGGAAGCAAAUCGACAUCAGGACAAGUGUUUUUGCUGUUCACGGUUGCAGCUAAUUGAAUUGCUUAGUUACUUUUUUUUUUUUUUAGUUUUCGAAGAAGUUUUUUGUCAAAAAUUUUUAAAACAUAUUGAAUUGAACUUUUCGAAUAGGGGUCGUCCAUUUGAAAUGCUAUUUAU
This is a long non-coding RNA of Varroa destructor (honeybee mite), 2393 nucleotides long. NCBI's taxonomy places the organism in Eukaryota, Metazoa, Arthropoda, Arachnida, Mesostigmata, Varroidae. The record is from RefSeq and is a predicted model, not a curated record.